This 271-nucleotide ribosomal RNA is filed under the name Schleiferilactobacillus perolens. RNAcentral describes it as "Lactobacillus perolens partial 23S ribosomal RNA". It matches the Rfam family "Bacterial large subunit ribosomal RNA", at positions 1440 to 1709 of the family's 2925-position model. The record is from RNAcentral. Lineage: Bacteria; Bacillati; Bacillota; Bacilli; Lactobacillales; Lactobacillaceae.
UGUACCGAUCUGUUAUGUUUGAGCGAAGGAAGGACGCAGGAGGCUAAGGUGAGCACGCAGCUGGAAAAGCGUGUCCAAGCACUGAGUCUGGGAGCGAGUCAAAUGCUUGUUCCUAAGGACAAGGUGUGAUGGGGAGCGAAAUUAAGUAGCGAAGCACCUGAUGUCACACUGCCGAGAAAAGUUUCUAGUGAGUAACAGAUCGCCCGUACCGCAAACCGACACAGGUAGUCGAGGAGAGUAUCCUCAGGCGCGCGAGAGAACCCUCGUUAAG